UUCAUCUAAUUAUUAUUCUUUAAAUUUUAGGUUAUUUUAAACCGAUUAUUCAAUUUUUUAAUUUUACUAUCCAACUUUUCAGUUUGUUUGAUUUGAAUCGGUUGAAUGAUAUUUUAACUUCAAAUUUUAAAUUCGUCAGUUAUAUUUACCGAUUUUGUUAGUGUAAUGCAUGCAAUUUGCAUCUGUAAAUUCAUUAAACUAAAACAUUAACUUAAAUUUUAAAGUUAAAUUAUUAUUGACCGAUUCAAAUCAAAUAAAUUGAAAGGCUGAGCAAUAAAAUUAAAAUUUUGAAAAGUGGGGUAGUUGAUUCAAAUUGUUCAUAGCUGAGAUAACUUUUAUAUGUUUCUGCUGAUUUAUUUGUAACGCUCCAAUAGUCCAACAUCGAAUGGGAUACUGAUUCCCAUCAGUUUAUAUGAGGCCUAUACGCUAGUAAUAAUAACUGGACUUAAGUAUUUUGGGCCGGUGGUUUGAACCUAACGAGUUAUUAUUGCUAGCGGGUCGAGUCGUUACAUUUAGUAUCAGAGCCGAAUGCCAACUGAAAGUGUGAGAGUUAAGCGCUAUGCGGAACAAAGUGCUACACCAAUGGAUCGGGAGCCACCUCUUCAACCCGUAGGAGCCACCUUUAGAAUCCACCUCUUGAACCCAUAAGAGCCACCUUCUGAAUCUCACAUCGUUUGGUAAUUCUGAUUAUAGUCUAUCUAUUGGGAGCCACCUCUCAUUUGGUAAUUCUGAUUCUGAUCUAUCUGUUUGUGAUCUGGUUUGAACCUGAGGAGUGGUUUGAACCCGAGGAGGACGUCAGGGUCUAAAUAGGGGGAGUUUGUAACACCCCAAUAGUCCCACAUCGGAUGAGAUACUGAUUCCGAUCAGUUUUUAUGAGGUCUAUACACUUGUAAUAAUAACUAGGCUUAAACAUUUUGGGCCGGUGGUUUGGGCCGAACAAAUUAUUGUUGCUAGCGGGUUGGAUCGUUAUGUUAUUUUUAUAUGCAAAUUUUGCACGCUACCCACAACAAAAUAUCGAAUUUGUAGAUUUAGGAUUGUUAAUAAAGAGGGCCAUAGACCAAGCUUGCAAGGCAAUGGUCUUGAACUAUAAAUUUGCAAAUUAUUUGUUACUGGCUUCAAAGGGCCAAUAUUUUGCCUUGUAGCAGGAGGUUGGGUUGGGCUGAGUCAUGUUCGAUGUGGUAUGAGACUGAUUGGACCGAGUCACAAUCGAGACCCGUGAGCGAUGUAUUUGUACGCUUUAAGUAAAUUAGUUUUGUAUUUCUAGCAACUUAAGUAUUUGGAUUUAAUUGUUUGCACCAACGAUCCAAUAAAUAAUAUUAGAGCCAGAGGUUACAGGUUUUGAUUCUCGCAUGUUGCGAAUUUGUACAUGUGGUGGGAAGGGUAGGGGGAAAGGGGGUUGAUUUUUCAUUUAAAUAGACCAGCAUUCUACCCUAUGACAAGAGGUCAGGUAGGACUGAGUCAUGCUCGAAGUGGCGUGAGGCUGGUUGGCCCAUUAUUGGCUUAAACGGGCUAGCAUCUUGCCUUGUGGCAGAAGGUAGGAUUGGGCCGAGUCAUGUUUGAAGUAGCAUGACACUAAUUUGGCCGAGUCAUGUUCGAAGUGGUGUGAGGCUGAUUGGACUGAGUCACAAUCGAGACCUAUGAGCAUUGUGUUUGUACACUUUAAGUGAAUUGGUUGCGUAUUUCCAACAACUUGAGAUUUUGUAUUAAUGAUUAGCA
This 1716-nucleotide long non-coding RNA is filed under the name Ananas comosus (pineapple). RNAcentral describes it as "long non-coding RNA (ACOM_LNC020120)". Lineage: Eukaryota; Viridiplantae; Streptophyta; Magnoliopsida; Poales; Bromeliaceae. The record is from RNAcentral.